CCAGGCAUAUUCAAAAAUGUUAAAUAGGAUAACAACAUUCAAUUAUUUUAACUUUCUGAUUGUGUUUCUAGAGCUGAAUGUAUACUUAUGUUAAUUUUUUUUCUCUAAUUCGAUCACAUCCUAUUGUCGUCAUUAUCGAAUCUCUGAUUUCAUUUCGUUUGGAUACAUUAUCUUAUCGCAUUAUUGCAUGAUAGAGCGUUCGUGCGUGCGUCGUCUGUUGACAAAUAGCGCAGGAACUGUUUGUAAUGUGUCCAAAUCCGCGUUACGAGCCAUCGGCGCCGCUGUAUUGUUUAUGCCCACAACUACUUCAUCAGUAAUUAGUUAAGCAAUCGUUUUUUCCAUUUAAGCGCAUUCAGCAAGUGACGACCCGCUGCUAGUGUCAGCGUAUUCAACGGGCUCACUUCUUUCGAAAACGUAACCUCAAUCUUGUAGCAUCGUUAUCAUAAACUGCUACCGAAUGCGUAACGAUUGUUCCUUCGGCGCGUGGAACAAUUGAACCGUCGAGGAGAGUUUUAUCAUCGGCUCGUAAAUUAUCGGCACUCGUGGCUUCGGCGGCGUGAGUCAGGUGUCGCAGUAAACAGACACGGGGUCCCCGACGAGCCCGCCCGGCGACCCUUGCAUGGACGGAUCGGCGCGAACAUUCGCGGCACGUCCUUUGUUGGCCGUUUUGUUUUGGAGUACCAUCCGGUUUCUGGUGGUAGGGGGGAGGGGACAGGUGGGCGCAGGUAGCGCGCGCGUCGGCAGUCAGUCCAACACGGCGCGCCGCGCUGCGCGCGCGGCUCGCUCGCGACCGAUUCUCUAUCAAAUAUGGAAAUGGCCGGUCAGGCCGCGACAGGUGUGCGUGCGGCGUUCGUGCACGUGUACUGUUUGUGAGUGCCAGCGCUACCCUCGGCUCCACCUCUCAACUUCACGAUUGUGCAAUGGAACAUGGAAAAAAUGACAAAGGAUUUUUAUAGAUUAAAUGAACGCGUAACUAGUAAGUAGAUAGGCAAAUAGAGCUCCGAUUACUCGCGUCACUGGCCGACGAUUCUGAUGUGAGCAAAUACGUGUAAUCGUGACGCGACGUCACAGGGAAAUUACGGCUUUAUACACAAUUCAUCAAACUUAUUUCACCUAAAGGGUAAGUUAUUCAUAACAUAUAGUCUAUCAAGCCAUUUCCGUCAGUAAAAAAAAACGGCAAAUUUCAAAAAUGUAGGCGCAAAUGGUUAUCGUCCCUUAGAAAAAUUGAAUUUCAUGCCUUUUUCUACUGACAAAGUUAUAUGACCGCCUAUACAUUGGUUGGUAGGUUUUGACUU
Molecule: long non-coding RNA, 1295 nt
Organism: Cydia pomonella (codling moth)
Lineage: Eukaryota; Metazoa; Arthropoda; Insecta; Lepidoptera; Tortricidae
Exons: 3
Source: RefSeq, a predicted model, not a curated record